UGCAUUUGAGACAUCCAAACAAUGAGAUGAGAGUGCAGGUAAAUCAAAAAUUUUAAUUUAAAAAUAUUUCAUUCCAACAAGCUUGAUUAUAACAUCGGUAUCACGAAAAGCAAGCAACUUUACAAAAAGAAAGAGAGAAGAAAAUACAUUAAUUAUGUGAGGUAGAUUUGCUCGAGUUCAUGAGUCCCCAGCAUGUUGCGAUCUAGAGACGUCUUCGGUUGCCGAAGCCACUUGAGUGAUGUCACUGACUCUAUCUACCAUUCUCUCACUUGAAACUUCGAGAAGAGACACAUCAACA
Molecule: long non-coding RNA, 298 nt
Filed under: Elaeis guineensis (African oil palm)
Lineage: Eukaryota; Viridiplantae; Streptophyta; Magnoliopsida; Arecales; Arecaceae
Description: long non-coding RNA (EGUI_LNC067536)
Source: RNAcentral